RNAcentral lists this long non-coding RNA (289 nucleotides) under Mytilus galloprovincialis (Mediterranean mussel). Lineage: Eukaryota; Metazoa; Mollusca; Bivalvia; Mytilida; Mytilidae. The record is from RNAcentral.
AGACUUUACACACAAUAAACAUUUUUUUCAAAAAAUGUAAAUAUCUUUUCUCUACAAUUUAGGGAGCUACCAUUUGAUUUUUUUAAUAGAGGGGCUUGGAUGGAAUUGUAAAAAAGGCAGGGCAGGAGUUUUGAGUAAAAAAAAGACAGGAUGAGCAACUUAUGUAAAAAAAAAGAAGGCAGGAUAAACUAAUAAAAAGGCAGACCGAAUAGAGUGAAAAAUAAAAAGGCAGGAUAGAGAUUUAAAAAAAAAGGCAGGACAUCAUUUCCAUCCGAGCUCUAGCGUGGCG